This 556-nucleotide ribosomal RNA is filed under the name uncultured archaeon. RNAcentral's name for it is "bacterial SSU rRNA". It matches the Rfam family "Archaeal small subunit ribosomal RNA", at positions 333 to 897 of the family's 1478-position model. The record is from RNAcentral.
CAGCAGGCGCGAAAACUUUACAAUGCGGGAAACCGUGAUAGGGGAACUCCGAGUGCCCGUAAAAUCGGGCUGUCCAUCGGUUUAAAUAACCGGUGAAGAAAGGGCCGGGCAAGACCGGUGCCAGCCGCCGCGGUAAUACCGGCGGCUCGAGUGGUGGCCACUAUUACUGGGCUUAAAGCGUUCGUAGCUGGUUUGUUAAGUCUCUGGGGAAAUCUUCCGGCUUAACCGGAAGGCGUCUCAGGGAUACUGGCAGACUAGGGACCGGGAGAGGUGAGGGGUACUCCAGGGGUAGGAGUGAAAUCCUGUAAUCCUUGGGGGACCACCUGUGGCGAAGGCGCCUCACCAGAACGGCUCCGACAGUGAGGGACGAAAGCUGGGGGAGCAAACCGGAUUAGAUACCCGGGUAGUCCCAGCUGUAAACGAUGCGCGUUAGGUGUAUCGGUGACCACGAGUCACCGAGGUGCCGAAGAGAAAUCGUGAAACGUGCCGCCUGGGAAGUACGGUCGCAAGGCUGAAACUUAAAGGAAUUGGCGGGGGAGCACAAGGGCGAAUCGCG